UCUGGGUGGAUGGCUACAGGAAAGGGAAGAUCAAGGCUUGCCAUCUGUCCCACCUGCCACCCUACCCUGUCUGUUCUUGCCACAG
RNAcentral lists this microRNA precursor (85 nucleotides) under Callithrix jacchus (white-tufted-ear marmoset). RNAcentral's name for it is "mir-1231 microRNA precursor family". It matches the Rfam family "mir-1231 microRNA precursor family". The record is from Rfam by way of RNAcentral. Lineage: Eukaryota; Metazoa; Chordata; Mammalia; Primates; Cebidae.